AACUCCAAUUGGGGUGAUCCAAAAGUGAGAAUACACUUAUAAAUUAUAGUUUUUACAAUGAAAAUUGAUUUGUUAUACAUUGUGAAUAUGUUUAUUUUAUUAUGAAUUUCGAGAAUGUUGUGCUACCUAUUUUACAAUGGAGAUUUGAAAUGAAGCUUGUUUAAUUUUCUGCAUUGUGAAAUUUUUGUGUUAAUUAGGGGUUUUAAGUACUACGGUGUUGCCACCUGUGAAUGAAAAUUUGACUUUAGAAAUUGAUUGUGUUUCGCAUAGAAUAUUUGAAUAACUUGAUUUAAAUUGUUUUAAUUCACACUUGGCAUGGCAAUAUUAAUAUGUUCCUCAUCCACUUGUGCGGUGAGUUUGAUAUUUGAUCAGUUUCCUCCCUCUCUGGCUUCCCAGUCUGAGGGGCGAGUUUGGAUGAGUACUCAUUAGCUAGCUA
Molecule: unclassified non-coding RNA, 436 nt
Filed under: Hevea brasiliensis (rubber tree)
Lineage: Eukaryota; Viridiplantae; Streptophyta; Magnoliopsida; Malpighiales; Euphorbiaceae
Source: RNAcentral